RNAcentral lists this long non-coding RNA (10552 nucleotides) under Triticum aestivum (bread wheat). RNAcentral's name for it is "long non-coding RNA (TAES_LNC013690)". Lineage: Eukaryota; Viridiplantae; Streptophyta; Magnoliopsida; Poales; Poaceae. The record is from RNAcentral.
CAAGGCCAAGACCAAGAGCAACGGCACCCACUACCGCUGCAUCUGGGGCAAGGUCUCCCGCCCCCACGGCAACACCGGCGUCGUCCGCGCCAAGUUCACCUCCAACCUGCCCGCCGAGGCCAUGGUGAGUUGCUCGGUCGAGCUUCUCCGGUUGUCUGUUUCGGUGGCAUGCGUGCUGCUCUUUGAUGCACUGACUUGCGCUGCCUGCUGACGGUUCUGUCGUGUUUGCUUUGCUCAGGGGAAAAAGGUCAGGGUCUUCAUGUACCCGAGCAGCAUCUAAAAGGUUAGAAUCGAUCCAUUGCUGGUUAUUUGUUUACCAUCCAAGCGUCAGUUCCAGAAUGUGUUAUUGCCUGAUGCACAAAUUUCUAGAUCGAAUUGUCAGUUAUUCAUGAUUCAUCCAUGUGUAUUUUGUUUAGUCAGUGUAAAAUCUUGAUUACACACUUGCAAUAUGUAAUAUGUGCUGGCAUUCUCUCUCGAGCAAAUUGCAUAGUGAAGUGGGAAAUGGGCACUACUUGUCUAUACUGAAUUUGGUCCCAUGUGUAAAUUUGUGUAUGGUGUAUGGAUAUUCCUGCUCCUAAACUAUUGCUGGACAUGUGACUUCACCUUGACCAACCAAGGAUUAGUCGCUUGGAAGUUGCAUAAAAGAUAACUGCAUUAUUUAGCACUUAGGCAUUUGCAAGUACUGUUAAUAAAUCAUUUUUUACUUGCUCUGAAUAAGAGAGAGGGACAGAUUGAUGGUAGGGAUGUGGAAUUGCUGGGUGUAUUUCUCGUACAUGAUCAAGAUUUUUAGUUCGAUGACAUUCUGUUGCCAUGAUAUCUUAUUUUGUGCAUAAUUAUGGUUCGAAAUUCUUCAUGUAAAUCUUGAUUCACAGCCUUCUGUUUGAUCCCCUGCUAAUUUUAUACGUCGCAUCGAAUGCAGGUUAUUUUGAAGUGUGGAGGAUUUCGCUCGUCCCUUAGGUUUCAUUUCAGAGUCUUGUAAGAUGGAUUCAGGCCUGGAUAGCAAGUUCAACUGCUGUUUCCCUGUGAAGAACUGUAGUCUUCAUGUUAUCUUGAAUGUGUGGGUCGCACAUUAUAUGAUGUUAUAUGUAGUUCGAACCUGAUGCUAUGUUUUGCCCACUUUUUGCGUUCUAUCCUUGCAAUUUUAGCUAUCAAAUCUGAUUCAGAGAUGUUUUUACUCCUCUUUUAUGCAUGUUUAUAUGCCCUUUUGAUGAUUGGUGGAAGUGGUUUAAUUGGCUUGGCACUGACGAGCGCGAGAACUUGUUCGUUUGGGAAGAUUAAAAUGCCUUUUAUGGAAAUUGUUGAACGCCACUGUAUGUUAGACUAACGAGUCUCAUGUACUUUGUGCUUAUCGUCUCCCCGAAGAUUAGCUGUUAGCUAGCCUCUAGGAGGUUGUCAGCACGUUUCCAUGCCCCCUGUGCAUGUAUUUUUAGCCCCUGGCAAGAAACUAGGAUUUCUGGAAAAACUGUAUCUGGUAACCAUUUGGUGUUUAUACAACAACAGCAACAAAGCCUUUAGUCCCAAACAAGUUGGUGUAGGCUAGGUGAAACCCAUAAGAUUCAGCAACCAAUUCAUGGCUUUGGCACAUGGAUAGUAAGCUUUCAUGCACCCUUGUCCAUAGCUAGCUCUUUGGUGAUACUUCAAUCCUUCAGGUCUCUCAUAACGGACCCCUCUCAUAUCAAAUUCGGUCUACCCCGCCCUCUCUUGACAUUCUUCGCACGCUUUAGCCGUUCGCUAUGCACUGGAGGCCUGCGCUGAAUAUGCGGUCCUUCCUCGUGUGGCCACGCAUCCAUCUCAACAUACGCAUCUCCGCCACACCUAACUGUUGAAAAUGUCGCCUUUUAGUCGGCUAACACUCAACGCCAUACAACAUUGCAGGUCGAACCGUCGUCCUGUAGAACUUGCCUUUUAGCUUUUGUGUCACAGAGAAUGCCAGAAGUUUGGCGCCACUUUAUCCAUCCGGCUUUGAUUCGAUGGUUCACUACUUCAUCAAUACCCCCAUCCUCCUGCAACAUUGAACCCAAAUAUCGAAAGGUGUCCUUCUGAGGUACCACUUGGCCAUCAAGGCUAACCUCCUCCUCCUCACACCUAGUAGUACUGAAACCGCACAUCAUGUACUCGGUUUUAGUGCUACUAAGCCUAAACCCUUUUGAUUUCAAGGUUUGUCUCCAUAACUCUAACUUCAUAUUUACUCCCGUCUAACUAUCGUCAACUAUCCACAAAGAGCAUACACCAUGGGAUAUCUCCUUGUAUAUCCCUCGUGGCCUCAUCCAUCAUCAAUGUAAAAAGAUAAGGGCUCAAAGCUGACCCCUAAUGCAGUCCUAUCUUAAUCGGGAAGUCAUCAGUGUCGACAUCACUUGUUCGAACACUUGUCACAACAUUAUCGUACAUGUCCUUGAUGAGGGUAAUGUACUUUGCUGGGACUUUGUGUUUCUCCAAGGCCCACCAGAUGACAUUUCGCGGUAUCUUAUCAUAGACCUUCUCUAAGUCAAUGAACACCACAUGCAAGUCCUUCUUUUGCUCCCUAUGUCUCUCCAUAAGUUGUCGUACCAAGAAAAUGGCUUCCAUGGUCGACCUCCCAGGCAUGAAACCAAACUGAUUUUUGGUCACGCUUGUCAUUCUUCUUAAGCUGUGCUCAAUGACUCUUUCCCAUAGCUUCAUUGUAUGGCUCGUCAUCUUAAUUCCACGGUAAUUAAUACAACUUUGAACAUCCCCCUUGUUCUUGAAGAUUGGUACUAAUAUACUCCGUCUUCAUUCUUCUUGCAUCUUGUUUGCCCGAAAAAUGAGGUUGAAAAGCUUGGUUAGCCAUACUAUCGCUAUGUCCCCGAGACCUUUCCACACAUCAAUGGGGAUACAAUCAGGGUCCAUCGCCUUGCCUCCUUUCAUCCUUUUUAAAGCCUCCUUGACCUCAGACUCCUGGAUUCGCCGCACAAAACGCACGCUGGUCUCAUCAAAGGAGUCGUCCAGUUCAAUGGUAGAACUCUCAUUCUCCCCAUUGAACAGCUCGUCGAAGUACUCCCGCCAUUUAUGCCUAAUCUCCUCGUCCUUCACCAAGAGUUGGUCUGCUCCGUCCUUGAUGCAUUUGACUUGGCCAAUAUCCCUCGUGUUCCUCUCUCGGAUCUUGGCCAUCUUAUAGAUGUCCCUUUUGCCUUCCUUCGUGCCUAACCGUUGGUAGUGGUCCUCAUAUGCCCGACCCCUUGCUUCACUAACAGCUCGCUUUGCGGCCUUCUUCGCCAUCUUGUACUUCUCUAUGUUGUAUGCACUCCUAUCCAGGUAUAGGCGUCUGGAGCAAUCUUUCUUCUCUUUAAUCGCCUUCUGGACAUCAUCAUUCCACCAUCAGGUAUCCUUAUCUUCGCUUCUCCUUCCCCUGGACACUCCAAACUCCUCCGAGGCCACCUUACAAAUGCAAGUCGCCAUCUUCAUCCACACAUUGUCCGCAUCCCCUCCUUCCUCCCAAGGGACAUCCUUAAUGACCCUCUCCUUGAACGCCUGAGCUACCUCCCCCUUGAGCUUCCACCACUUCGUUCUAGCGACUUUGGCACGCUUAUCCCGCUGGACACGAAUCCGAAAGCGGAAGUCAGCAACCACCAGCUUAUGUUGGGGUACAACACUCUCUCCAGGUAUCACCUUACAGUCUAGGCACGCACGCCUAUCUUCUCUUCUCGAGAGGAUGAAAUCAAUCUGGCUAGAGUGUUGGCCACUACUAGAAGUCACCAUAUGUUAUUCUCUCUUUCUAAGGAGGGUGUUAGCUACAAUCAUGUCGUAGGCUAGAGCAAAACUUAAGACAUCUUCUCCUUCUUGAUUCCUGAUGCCAUAGCCAAAGCCCCCAUGCGCCCCUUCAAAACCUGUGUUAGAUGUACCCACGUGGCCAUUGAGGUCUCCUUCUAUGAAGAGAUUCUCACCAAUCGGUACACUCCUAACCAUGUCUUUCAGGCCUUCCCAGAACUCUCUCUUGGUUUUCUCAUUGUGGCCUACUUGCGGGGCAUACACGCUGAUAACAUUGAGAACCAAGUCCUCAACUACCAGCUUGACCAGGUUAAUCCGGUCCCCACGUCUCUUGACGUCUACCACUCAUACUUGAGGCUCUUGUUGAUCAAGAUGCCUAUGCCAUUUCUGUUUGCAGCCGUCCCCCUUGAAGCGGUAUCCUCCACCUCCUUCGCUUUCUGUCCUCUCCAUUUGGUUUCUUGGACGCAAAGAAUAUCAACACCUUUUCCUCACCGCUGCAUCAACUAGCUCUAGAAGCUUCCCUGUCAGAGACCCUACGUUCCAGCUACCUAAACGAAUCCUCCUAGGCUCGGCUAGUUUUCUUACCCUUCGCACUCGUCGAGUCAAAUGCGAAGACCCUUGCUCAUUUUCCACUACAUCCGGGCGCCGAUGUAGCGCGCCACUAAGGAUGCGACGACCCGAUCCUCGCUCACUUGCCACCGUACCCAGAUCAAGAUAUGGCGCGCCACCUGGGAGGUGACGGCCCGGCGCUUGCCCAUUUGCCACCACACCCGAGUUCCGAUGUGGCGCGUCGCUGAGAGGGUUACGCCCCAACGAAAAUCUUUUGGGUUUCAUCUCCAUAAGAGUGGCUGAGUUUUUACGUUGGCUCGCCAAGCCUAUCACAACCCUCCUCCUUUACCCGGGCUUGGGACCGGCUAUGUUGAGACAACAUAGACAGAGUUAACAUGGGCGGUGUUUAUACAUAAUAAUAUAAAAAUACGUGCAUUGUGGUUCCAAAGAUCUGCAACAAGGCUUUAUCCAAUGGUGUUGGCUGGUUACAUAUUUUUUAAUUCUAAAAAGGCGUGUGCAUUUCUAUAUCUUUACGAACUUAACAUGGUAUAAAAUCAUAUGUUAACGUAUAUGCGCAUACACUCACCCCUAUGAAUGCAACGCACUCAUCCCUAUGAAUCUCAAUAUCUUGAGAUUGAUGAAGUCAUCAUAGUCGAUGUGACUCUCACCAAACGAACAUCGCCGGAAAGGUUGAAAUAAAUCUAGAAACAUGGACUGUGUUUUUAGCAAAUUAUGUGUCAAAGUUAUUUAAAAUUCGCAUCUCUAACUUAAUUCAAAUGCUUUGCCAUGAUUUUUGCAACCAAACUGCAUAAUAUAUAUAUAUAAUCUACAUAAGUUGGGCUAAUCUCACUUUCUUAAAGCCGCAUAACCGCCCCUGAGGUAUCGUAGAGCAUGUUGUGGAUGGGUCACACUCCUUGCAAGGCAAGCCAUUGAAUUGUCACUUUAGAGCAUCUCCAACAGACGCCCAAUAUUAGCGUCGUGUCCAAAAAUUCACAAGUUUAGCGCGCGCGGAGUUGAAAAUAGCACUCCAGCGGACGCUGCAUAAUAGAGCACGCUGUAAAAAGUGUUCAGCGCGCCGGACGAAACUGAAUCGCAAGUCGUAUAUUUAGCGCAUGAGCUCCAACGCGCUGAACUUCUCACGUGCGCCACAGCCGCUGUUGGCCUCCUCGCGUGCGCCCCCGCCGGCCUCCUCGCAUGUGCGCGCCAGCCGGCCACGGGCGGGGCGGACCGCGGCCACGGCCACCGCGUCGGCGGNNNNNNNNNNNNNNNNNNNNNNNNNNNNNNNNNNNNNNNNNNNNNNNNNNNNNNNNNNNNNNNNNNNNNNNNNNNNNNNNNNNNNNNNNNNNNNNNNNNNNNNNNNNNNNNNNNNNNNNNNNNNNNNNNNNNNNNNNNNNNNNNNNNNNNNNNNNNNNNNNNNNNNNNNNNNNNNNNNNNNNNNNNNNNNNNNNNNNNNNNNNNNNNNNNNNNNNNNNNNNNNNNNNNNNNNNNNNNNNNNNNNNNNNNNNNNNNNNNNNNNNNNNNNNNNNNNNNNNNNNNNNNNNNNNNNNNNNNNNNNNNNNNNNNNNNNNNNNNNNNNNNNNNNNNNNNNNNNNNNNNNNNNNNNNNNNNNNNNNNNNNNNNNNNNNNNNNNNNNNNNNNNNGGCCACGGGUGGCGCGGCCACCACGGGGCGGAGCGCGGCCACGGCAUGACGAGGCGAGCAGGCCACAGCGGGGCGGAGCGCGGCCAGGGCCACGGGCGGCGGGGAAUGGCCAUGACCAUGGCGGCAAGCAGGCCACGGGCGGCGAGCUAGGUACAGGCGCGCGUGGUUAAUUUUGGGCGCCUGUUGAAGAUGCUACUGUUGCUAAUUGGGCAGUAUAUUUCUGGGCGUCUACUGAAGAUACUCGGUCAUCCGGCGCUAAAACGCUAUUUUGACGCUGUAAAAAAAAUUAGCGCGCGACUACGUAGGACGUGUGUUGGAGAUGCUCUUAUCAUCAUCAAGUACCACCACUGCCAGUGCGUGAUAACCCACUUGAACUAUAACCGACUAUCCGUUCGGACAAAACACCAAAUGCGCCUAUUCUAUGAACAUCACACUUACACAAACAUUCCUGAAGAAUAUUAACUCGAGUAUGCAAAAGAGGAUUCUAUAUACAAUCGGCUUUCGACACCUAAGAGCAACUUCAAUGGGGGACCUAUUUCGUCCGCGGCCGUCCGUUUGGGUUGGCUCGGACAGAAAAGUCGGCCCAACGCGCCGACCCAAACAGACACGCGUCCGCUUUUGUCCGCCUGCCGACCCAUUCCUGGCCCAUUUUUGAGCCAGAUUUGCAUCGGCGCGGACACAAGACGGACGCGCGCGCUCGCCCUCUUUUCUCACCGGGCCCGUUGGUCGGUGGCACAUUGGACUGGCCUCUCCACAUCAAAUAGCACACCAUCGUCCGCCUGCUUCGUCGCCGACGACGCCGGCCAUUUUUCCCGAUAAAAAGAUAGUUCUAGCGUACACAGAUAAAAGAAAAGACCAACUACUCGUCGCUUUCCGACUUCGACUCGGUAAUGUCCUCCUCCGACGUCUGAAUAUAGGCGUCAGCAUGCUGCUCGUCUUCGAAGUCCCAACCCGACGUUUCUCGUAACUUCAGUUUCAAUUGAGCGGCCUGCUUCCGCGAACGCUUGUCCUCCCGAUAGGCGGCUCGCUCCGUUCUCCUCGCGUCCCUCUCCAACCUCCUUUGCUUGUAGAACUGGCGCUCGUCGGCGAUGUCCUGCGGGAAGCGUUCGCGCCACACCACCAUGGCUUCCACGUACAUCUCGGCGAUGACGAGGCGACGCUGCCGCCUCCGGUGGACACGACGAUCCUCGUCGGUAAAAAGCCGCGGGAGAGGCGCGAGAUCCUGCGCCCGCUGGCUCGACACGUCGGGAAAAUUCAUCUCCCGACGAGGCCUCAGGAGGCGCCACGCCGCCGCGUCGUGCGCGCGGGCCGCCUCCUCUGUGGUGUCGAAGGUGCCGAGGAUGAGGCGUUUCUCGCAAAACCAGAUCUCGGAGGAGAAGCCGCCGGAGCGGCGCUCGCGGACUCCGGAAAAUCCGAAGCACCCAGGCAGCGCAUCGACAUGGUGGCGCAGAGGCGGUGAGGCUAGUGAGAGGGGGGCGAGAUGAGUGGGCGGCGGACAGAGUGUGGAUGAGGCGCCUUCUUAUAACGAGCGCCGGCCGCGGCGCGCGCGCGAACCUUUCCCGCGCGCUGGAGCGCCAAAACCAGCAUGCGCUACGCCGCUUUUCCCCGCGCGCGCGAACCUUUCCCGCGCGCUGGAGCGCCAAAACCAAGGCGACAGCAUGGCCGCUGGCAUGAUCUAAAGCGCGCACGGUCAUGAAAUGGGUCGCCCGUUGGGCGCACUGCCGACCCAAAAUUAAAACAGGGCGGACGGUGGGCGGGCGGCCGACCCAAACGGACAAAAAGCGGACAAAAACGCCAUCCGUUUGAGUCGGCCCGUUGGAGUUGCUCUAAACAUACUAGAGUUCCUCCAUAUCCUUGAAAACUAGAGGUAGUACUUGGGCAUAGAGACGGCAAACAUCACAAAAAUAAUAAUGGUAAACAUGGAUGAACGAUUAAAGCAAUACACAUAAGCAAACGGCCUUUCAUUGUUAGUGUUUCUCGUGCCGCCGCCGUCGUCAUCGGAGAAAUUUAGGUUCCCUCGCCUCCAGCUGCCAUCUUAGCCCUGAGAGGUGGGGGAGACCUCGGAUCUUCAAGAUAUUUAUGUCCUUCGCCAUUGUCUAGUGAUUAUUAUAGUUUUGUGAGAAUAAAUUUCAUCUCGUUCUUUUGACGGUGCCAUGAGAUUAAAGAGUUUUCUGUCCUCGCAGAUCCAAUUAUUCAGAUCUGAUGAGUUUAUGUUGCUGUGUCAAGCCUUUUUUGUUGGUCUAGUUCUUUGUGGAGGUGAAAUCUUUCAUCGACAUCAUGGUGAAGAUACAGUGAUUCGACGACCUGCAUUUCUAGGGGAUCAUCCCUGUCCCAAGUAGGUUCAUCGAUCAAGGCUUCCCAUCUUUUUGGAUGGGCGACUCAAGGCGCUUUCAAAAACCAUUAUUGGUAGUGUCCGUGUGGGUGAAGGAGUGACAACCUCGUUGUUCCAGUCCAAUUGCAGCCUCUUUACCGAAGUCUUUGGAGUAUUUCUUCGAGCAGAGAUUGGCGCCGUGAAGAAGGUCUUUUUAAGAGAUUUCAUUAUAAUCCUUAGUUAGGAGUUACUUUGUAUUUUCUUGAAUGUUAGGUCCAAAUCAGUGUACUUGUAAUUGUUUUGAGUAUGAAUAAAGUUACACGUGUUUCUAUUCUAAAAAUAAGUAAUACCCAUAGCUUUUCACCCAGGGUCCGACAUUACAAAGAGAUGAAUAGGAGAUGGUGAUGGUGAUGGUUGAUGCCGAAAUCUCCAUAACUCCGAUUUGUGUCGAAUCCGCCGUGGUGAAAUAGUCGGUCCGCGGAGGCGAAACUACCUAGUACGAGCUAUGGUACGAGCGGUCGCGCUCGUACCAAGCGUUGUCUUUCUCUCCUGGAUGCCACUUCUCUUUAUGAUAGGUUUCCAUCACGUCAAAUAACAUUGAUUUUCACCCACAUAUCAGUGUUCUCUCUAAUGUUUUAGAUCCCGUCGUUGGUUAAGAUCACGAUGAAAUCAAUCAAAAGGGUGUGCGCACGAGGUAAAAAAAUCUGACAAUCCUACGACUACAACAUAGAAACUAAAGGUAAACACUAAUGCAAAUUUAGACUCAUCAUGCGCAUUCGGAGGCCUCCCACGCUCCCCAACUGGGAGGUCACGGCGAUAGGAGCCCACCCCCCGGGUCGUCGAGGGGACGCCACUAGUAGAUUCAUGCUCUCUAUGCAUGGAUGCAACCGAGUCUGAGGGCCCAGGGGGCUCAUGUCCUGCCUGAGCAUGAGUCAACGCGAGGGUACCUUCAGAGAUCUCCUUAGCCCCGAUGACCGCAAUAUGUUCCAAGCAAGGUCCACACUCGUCCUGGAACACCAUCACACCGUAUGUGGCGAGAUCAGACAAGUGCUUUAGGGGAAUCGUUUGAGGAUCGAGAACCCAAAACCCGAAUGGCGAGGGAAGGGAGGGGAAGUACCUUUUUUUUUAGGUGAAGGAGGGGAAGUACCUGAAUCGAGGUUGUAGACUGUGGCCUCUCGGGCCACUACCGCCAGGCCACAAGUAACAUAGUAUUUUUUCCGAGUCGCAUGAGUAACAUUGUUGCGAGAGAAGUAAUAGCUAUUUUUUUAAUACAGUAUAUGGCAUUGCAUCCGAAAAAGAAUACAAAAGGUGUAGUAAAGCCUUAUGUUUCUAAAUUCUGUUUUUGUGUGCCGAAACUGCAAAGUUCCCGCCAGCCACGGAGAAAAUUUCGUGUUGCCCACCAUCUCGCCCACGUCAUCGAUCCGAGGCACCGGCCUCUCCACCAAUCAGCGCGCACCUCCUCCCCGCUAUAUACUUCCUCCGCCCCCGCAUCCAUUCGCAUCAGCAAUUCCCCACCUCCCAGCGAAACACCCCCGCUCCCUCUCCCACCUCCGAAGCAGCAGCAGCCAUGGCCCCCAAGGCAGACAAGAAGCCGGCCGCCGAGAGCAAGGUCGAGAAGGCGGCGGAGAAGACCCCGGCAGGCAAGAAGCCCAAGGCCGAGAAGCGGGUGCCGGCGGGCAAGACGGCGGCCAAGGAGGGCGCCGGCGGCGAGGGCAAGACUCGGGGCCGGAAGAAGGGCAGCAAGGCCAAGAAGGGCGUGGAGACGUACAAGAUCUACAUCUUCAAGGUGCUGAAGCAGGUGCACCCGGACGUGGGCAUCUCCUCCAAGGCCAUGUCCAUCAUGAACUCCUUCAUCAACGACAUCUUCGAGAAGCUCGCCGGGGAGUCGGCCAAGCUGGCGAGGUACAACAAGAAGCCCACCAUCACCUCCCGGGAGAUCCAGACCUCCGUCCGCCUCGUCCUCCCCGGCGAGCUCGCCAAGCACGCCGUCUCCGAGGGCACCAAGGCCGUCACCAAGUUCACCUCCUCCUAGGCUGAAUCUGAAUGCGUCGCCUUGUUGUAGUUGGCUGCUGUUGACUCUGCUUAUCUCUCUCAAGUAGUGGUAGUAGUAGUUGUGCACUAGAUGAUUGCCAACGCUUUGUUGGAUCCUUGGUUGUUGCUUUUGCAAGCUGAUAUCUAUGUAGAAUGUGGAAGUUGUGGUUGUGUAUCCGUAUCCACAGUGAUGAUUUGACAGAUGUUGGCUUUUCUACUCUUCUGAACUGAACGCAGCCAUGCCUGGCCAAUUUGCAUUUUGUCUGCGAGUUCUAGUGCUGAUUGAUCGGAAUGCAAA